AGGACGAACGCUGGCGGCGUGCUUAACACAUGCAAGUCGAGCGAGGCCCGUCCUUCGGGACGGUGCCCUAGCGGCGAACGGGUGAGUAACACGUGGGCAACCUGCCCCUAGCACUGGGAUAACUCCGGGAAACCGGGGCUAAUACCGGAUAUGACCUUUGAGGGCAUCCUCUUUGGUGUAAAGGAUUCUGGCUAGGGAUGGGCCCGCGGCCUAUCAGCUUGUUGGUGGGGUAAUGGCCUACCAAGGCGACGACGGGUAGCCGGCCUGAGAGGGCGACCGGCCACACUGGGACUGAGACAUGGCCCAGACUCCUACGGGAGGCAGCAGUGGGGGAAUAUUGCACAAUGGGCGAAAGCCUGAUGCAGCGACGCCGCGUGAGGGAUGACGGCCUUCGGGUUGUAACCUCUUUCAGCAGGGACGAAGCGAAGUGACGGUACCUGCAGAAGAGCACCGGCCAACUACGCGCCAGCAGCCGC
Molecule: ribosomal RNA, 476 nt
Filed under: uncultured bacterium
Lineage: Bacteria
Description: SSU rRNA
Rfam family: Bacterial small subunit ribosomal RNA
Source: RNAcentral